Molecule: ribosomal RNA, 379 nt
Filed under: uncultured bacterium
Lineage: Bacteria
Description: bacterial SSU rRNA
Rfam family: Bacterial small subunit ribosomal RNA
Source: RNAcentral
GACGAACGCUGGCGGCGUGCUUAACACAUGCAAGUCGAGCGGUAAGGCCCUUUCGGGGUACGACGAGCGGCGAACGGGUGAGUAACACGUGGGUGACCUGCCCUCAGCUCUGGGAUAAGCCUGGGAAACCGGGUCUAAUACUGGAUAUGACUCCAUGACGCAUGUUGUGGGGUGGAAAGCCUUGUGCGGCUGAGGAUGGGCCCGCGGCCUAUCAGCUUGUUGGUGGGGUGAUGGCCUACCAAGGCGACGACGGGUAGCCGGCCUGAGAGGGCGACCGGCCACACUGGGACUGAGACACGGCCCAGACUCCUACGGGAGGCAGCAGUGGGGAAUUUUUCGCAAUGGGGGCAACCCUGACGAAGCAACGCCGCGUGGGGAU